This is a long non-coding RNA of Mustela erminea (ermine), 628 nucleotides long. RefSeq lists it as uncharacterized. The transcript has 3 exons. NCBI's taxonomy places the organism in Eukaryota, Metazoa, Chordata, Mammalia, Carnivora, Mustelidae. The record is from RefSeq and is a predicted model, not a curated record.
AGGAGGCCUCCCUCUCCCCGCUGUAAGCGCUGCCGGGAUGUGGAAACGCUGAGGCCGAGAAGGAUCCAGCAGCAAUGAAGCCACCGCGGUCGAAGUUAUGCAAGAUGACCAGUAGGCAAGGACGGUCUGCUCCUGAGAGAUGAAUCGUGAGGCAUGACCAGGCAUCAGCUUGGGACCUUCUCUUCUCGUCCUCAGUGUUAGCUUCCUCACGGCGCCCACAUAGCCCCCAGAGUCCCCCUCACGCGUGUGUCCCAGCCUCCCCUGCCCGCAGCCACAUCCUACAAACAUGGGUCUUGAAAGAGGAGAUAAAGCUAAAAUGAAACCCUCAGGGUGGGCUUUAAUCCAAUCAUGCUGGUGUCCUUAUAAGACAAAGAAAUCUGGACACAAAAGGAGACACCAGGGGUGCACACAGAGAAAAGAUCGCAGGAGGAAGCAGCGAGAAGGUGGCCAUCUGCAAGCCAGUGAGAGAGGUCUCAGAAGAAACCAAAUUAACUGACACAUCAGUCUCAGACUUUAAGCUUCCAGAAUUGUGAGAAAAUACAUAUCUGUUGUCCAGGCCACAUGGUCUGUGGUAUUUUGUUAUGACAGCCCGAGCAAACUAAUAAACCAGCCCUUCUUACCUGUCUCA